Molecule: transfer RNA, 73 nt
Filed under: Stegodyphus mimosarum
Lineage: Eukaryota; Metazoa; Arthropoda; Arachnida; Araneae; Eresidae
Rfam family: tRNA
About the family: Transfer RNA (tRNA) molecules are approximately 80 nucleotides in length. Their secondary structure includes four short double-helical elements and three loops (D, anti-codon, and T loops).
Source: Rfam by way of RNAcentral
GACUUCGUGGUAUAAUUGGAAGCACAUCCGGCUAGCAGUCGGAAAGUUCAGAGUUCGAAUCUCGGCCAAGACA